RNAcentral lists this transfer RNA (70 nucleotides) under Dipodomys ordii (Ord's kangaroo rat). It matches the Rfam family "tRNA". From Rfam's summary of the family: Transfer RNA (tRNA) molecules are approximately 80 nucleotides in length. Their secondary structure includes four short double-helical elements and three loops (D, anti-codon, and T loops). Further hydrogen bonds mediate the characteristic L-shaped molecular structure. tRNAs have two regions of fundamental functional importance: the anti-codon, which is responsible for specific mRNA codon recognition, and the 3' end, to which the tRNAs corresponding amino acid is attached (by aminoacyl-tRNA synthetases). tRNAs cope with the degeneracy of the genetic code in two manners: having more than one tRNA (with a specific anti-codon) for a particular amino acid; and 'wobble' base-pairing, i.e. permitting non-standard base-pairing at the 3rd anti-codon position. The record is from Rfam by way of RNAcentral. Lineage: Eukaryota; Metazoa; Chordata; Mammalia; Rodentia; Heteromyidae.
GGGAAUGUAGCUCAGUGGUAGAGUACUUGCCUUGCAUCCAUGAGGCCCUGGGUUCGAUUCCUCAGCACCA